Molecule: long non-coding RNA, 2195 nt
Organism: Gekko japonicus
Lineage: Eukaryota; Metazoa; Chordata; Lepidosauria; Squamata; Gekkonidae
Exons: 3
Source: RefSeq, a predicted model, not a curated record
UCAGAGAGUCCGGCAGCUGGCGGAAAACACACGGUACUUCCGAAGAAGACUCCACGAACUCGGCUUCAUCAUUUACGGCAACCAAGAUUCUCCUGUUGUCCCCCUGCUUUUGUACGUCCCUGGUAAAAUUGGGGCUUUCUCUAGACGCAUGUUAUCAAAAAAUAUUGGGGUGGUUGUCGUCGGCUUCCCAGCAACCUCGCUCACAGAAGCCAGGGCUCGUUUUUGCAUCUCAGCUGCUCACACUCGAGAGAUGUUAGACAAGGUUCUGCAAGCUCUGGACGAACUGGGUGACUUCUUGACUCUGAAAUACUCCCAGCAUUCCAAGCCGUAUCGUCCGGAACUGUACAACGGAACAAGCUUUGAAGUUGAAGGUUAAGCUCCCGUCCCAUGAAGAAGACCCAUUGCCAGGGGGGAGAUAAGGAAACCUAUAACAAUAGGAAAGCAUUUCUUCUGUUCGAAAGACAGUUUUUGCUUCUCUGUUAACUCAGUCGAGGGAAGCCCUGUAAUGUGCGUUACUGGGUCGGAUUCUGUGGGCAAGAGACUGGAAUAUUGCCACGGGUUUAUCCCCACCGAGAAAUAUGUGUUGUAUUAUUAUUAUUAAUAUUAUUAUUAUUAUUUUUGGUGCAAAAAAAGAGAAGACUUUGUUCUGUUCAUUCAGUUGCUACUGUGCAGCCGUUGUGUGCCUUUUAACGGGCAGGUUUUGGAUAGUUCUUAAUAAUGGUUACAAUAAUUUUUUGGGAAAAGAAUUACUUGCCACAUAAGAAUGUUGAAGUAAAAUGUCAUUUGUUGGGUUGGUUUUCAUCUGCGGAAAGGGGGGCGUGGCAUCUUCGCUUCAUGACCUGACUCCGAGGUGACCAGUGCUUGCAGGUGAGAGAGUGGUCAUUCGGGAACCAACUUGACGUUAACUGUUUUCAAUGGAUGGGGUAAGGGGACUGAAAAGCUCUUUUCCGGAUGGUAUUUCAAAAGGAAAUGUUUGUUGUGGUCCUCAGUUUGACAAGAAAAGGGCAAGCCGCAAAACGCUUAAGUAUACGUACAUCUCGGUUUUGAUUCUAAUACGGUCAACGCACUGAAUUCUUACAAAUAAAAACUGAAAAUUCCUUUUUAUUAGCGUGUUGGGCCUUUCACGCGAGUCCGUGGGCUUCUCCCUGUGCAUUUUCCAUAACCGCUGAAGUGUCCUGUUGGCCUCGCACAUCUCUGUAAGCACCACGAAGUAGAAUUGACAUUUGUGAGCCUCUUUCUAUUCUUGAACUCCUUCCGGGUUUGAUAAACACACUUGUUAAGCGAGUAACAUUUUGGGUGACUGUUACGCAGAAUAUAAUACUCAGGGAGUGUGCUGUUUUGUGGCCCCGACAACUGUUGAAUGGAAAGGCUGCUGGCUCCUUUUUAUAUUGUGAUUUUUUUUUUUAACGGCUACUUCACACAGUUGGACAGUCAAGGUUCUUGUUUUGCCGUGAGGUUAAUAGAGCUACACAGUUUGUGGGAGGUUUUCUAAACGUUACGACUGUUAACCAGCCUUAAGUGCACAAGCGAUCUGAAAAGGGCCUAUAAGAAAAGGAUUUGUCACCGGGGUCCCAUGCCGUUGCACCAGAUGAACCGGGAAAUGACUAAUUCAGAUGGUUCCAUGGAAAACGGGGGGUCUCAGCCAUUAAGGGCUUCCGUUGCCUGUUACUCUUUUUGUUUUGUUUUAAAUAAACGGGUUGAAAGUCAUUUCUGUAGCACUGAGGGAAGGGCGAGCCGUUCUACGGUAUCUGAUGGCACUGUAAACACAUCCACUCGAGAGAGGGUUGGCUUUCUGUUGCACAGAUGUACUCCGCUUUCAUGUUCUUAAAAGCCGCAGUAUCCAUUUAACCCACAGCUGCAAAAUUAGAUUUAAGAACAGAACAAUUAAAUUGUGGAAUAGCAGUUACAGCAUACGGCUCCCCUGCUUCUUAAAGCAGCUUUGAGGAUAAAGCAAGGCCAAUUCGUUCUGAGGCCUUCUCUAUUUUUGGUUGUUGUUCGUGUUAAUAAAAUCCAAUGCUACUAUAAUGUUAAAAAUGGACCGCGACACAUUCCGGAAUAUCAGACGUCUGAUUUAAAAAGUGGAUUAGGGGGAUGGGGGGGAGUCUGGGAAAUUGUGCAGCGUUGUAUGAUUGUUCACUUCGGCACAUGAACUUGAGGGACACUACAGGAGAGGCGAAGGGAGCCAUGUUUGUGCA